This 406-nucleotide ribosomal RNA is filed under the name uncultured bacterium. RNAcentral's name for it is "partial 16S ribosomal RNA". It matches the Rfam family "Bacterial small subunit ribosomal RNA", at positions 30 to 526 of the family's 1533-position model. The record is from RNAcentral.
AUUGAACGCUGGCGGCAGGCUUAACACAUGCAAGUCGCACGAGUGGCGGACGGGUGAGUAAUGCCUGGGAAACUAUCUGAUGGAGGGGGAUAACUACUGGAAACUGUAGCUAAUACCGCAUACCAUAAGAUGAGCCCAGAUGGGAUUAGCUAGUUGGUGGGGUAACGGCUCACCAAGACGACGCUCUCUAGCUGGUCUGAGAGGAUGACCAGCCACACUGGGACUGAGACACGGCCCAGACGCCGACGGGAGGCAGCAGUGGGGAAUAUUGCGCAAUGGGCGCAAGCCUGAUGCAGCCAUGCCGCGUGAAUGAAGAAGGCCUUCGGGUUGUAAAGUACUUUCGGUAGCGAGGCGUUAACCACAGAAGAAGCACCGGCUAACUCCGUGCCAGCAGCCGCGGUAAUAC